RNAcentral lists this long non-coding RNA (4524 nucleotides) under Ooceraea biroi (clonal raider ant). RNAcentral's name for it is "uncharacterized LOC113561472". Lineage: Eukaryota; Metazoa; Arthropoda; Insecta; Hymenoptera; Formicidae. The record is from RNAcentral.
UAAACAAAAACAAAAGUUAAUAAAAAAGAAAAGAUUAAUAGUAUAACGAAAUUACAUUUUAAGCACAAUACAUAAUCUUCAAAAUGGUGUUAAAUAAUGGAGAGAAGUUGUAGGCUGCGCUAAAUGAAUACCUUAUGUUAAAUGAAGCGUUUUUAUGAAGCCUCACGAAUAUUAUUAUCACAUACAAGAAUCUCAUAAUAAUUAAACAAUUUCUCUAGUAAUAAAAAAGUUUUCUCAUGAUAAAUUAUAAUACGCUUUAUUAUACAGAUUAUUCGUGACUCGCACAACUUAUACCUUGCUUUAAAUACAAACUUAUCUGCUUACGUAUCUUACCAUGCGAGAAAUAAUUAAUAAUUUAGAAUAAAUACAAUUGUUCAAGUUAAUUAUGCGCUUACAUAUAUCUCACUCUCAGCUACUGCUCGUCAUCACUUUUACCUAAUUAUAAGUUCGAUACGUGUUGUACUCGCAAAUAUCUCUAUAGCAAAAUUUCAUAAAAUGAUGGUUCCAACAAAAAAGGAUUACUUUAUGCUAUCUGAUAACAAAGGAAAUACCUAUUUCGCAACUUGGCACAUUACUGAUCAGAAGUGAAAUAGAAAAUGAAAUUAAUUUGCCGGACGCAACUUGACUUUCUAAUACAUACAUCGAAUGUAUCCAGCCUGCAUUAUCAAACGUUAUAUCUGAAUGACUUGCCUUGCCUAUCACUCGUAACUACUGUGUUAAUGUAAUCUAGAUGAAAGUGAAUGCUGCGAUUCGAUAAGCGUGUAAUGGCUUAAACAGUAGCUUGACAUACAUGUUAGAAAUAUUUUUUAUUACAAUUAAUUAUAUAAUAUAAUACAAAUUUUUUACAAUUUUGCAAAAAGUGCAAUGUAACUGUUACCUGCUAUCUAUAGCAGACUGUAAUACAUAUAUAAUUUGACAAUUGUUUCAUAUUAAUUUUGAUAUGUAAAAAGUACAUUAAUUAAUAUAAAAAUGUUUGUCAGAGCAAAUGUAGCCGUAUAUUUAUAAUAUUUGCAGCGUAAGUAAAGACAACCAAAUUCAGUAUUUAUAAAUUGAUAAUUUUUCUCUGUAACUGACUGUACUCAAUUCUUUUUUUGUCCCCUUUCAGGUAUCGAGGUCACAUGUGACCUUGUUUUAAGAGAGCAGUAGUACGCAAAUUUCUCGACUUUGCUUGUACGCGGAGAUGACGCAUGCUGCAUAUAUCUUAAAGGAUACAAAAUAAAAUGGAGGAGUAUCCAGGUUCAAGGCUUUGCUUUGCAAUUAGACCGAAUAAAUUAUGCGUGUCAUCAAAUUUAUUGUGACGUGUCACAUGACGUAUCUUUCUCGGCAAUAUUACAAUGAACGGUACGGCUACAUCUUUAAAUUACACGCCACACUUUGUACAUUACAGAGAUUAAAUCGCAAGCAUCCUGCAUAAAAGCAAAUCAGUAACAUAAAAAUGUUAAUUAAUUCGGAUGGUAUUUUAUUAUCAGUUAUGAAGUCAACAAUAACUUAAAAAAUUUCAAAAUCUCUUCGUUCAAGCUGAACGUGAUACGAAAAUUUGAUAAAAAUUCGUAUUCCGCCGUUUCACUAUCUCGUACCUCUACUCGUAAACUUUUUCAUAUUUCCGCAUAGCUCUUGCCCGACAUCCGUCAGGUAUGAUCGUCAUGUUACGUUGACCAUCGAAGGUACCCGCAGCACAUCGACGUCUUGCUCGGAAUGAUGAAAAAGCAUGGUCGACGAGUCGAUGCUCGGCGGAGCCCCGAACGCAGCAACGAGAAUGAGUUCUCAUUCGGGCUGCACAUAUUUCCCGGACCGUUUUCUCGUCGUAAAAUGAAACUAUUACUUUAUCAGUUUCUCCUCUCGCAUCCCCGACUGGCUGAGGAUCGACGAAGUUCCACGUUUCCUCAUUUGUCUUUUCGUUUUCUUACCCCUCUGUCCAUCCCGCGCGCACCCCGGCGGCCCUUCUCUCGCGCGUCUUAGCCCCGGAGUUCACGAGACUGCCACGGGGAUGCCGGAGCAGGAACAAGGCUGUAUACAGAAGGGCUGUACAGCCGUUGGCUGCUGGGAUACCAAAGAUUCCUUCAGAGAUUGCGGACGGAAUUUCGCUGCAGUGACGGACGAACUCCUCUCCGCGUCUUGUCUUAUCUUACCCCUGCCGGUAUUAUAGCCCCCGUCCCCUUAUACCCCACCUAAGACGGAGGUAUCCUACGCCAGACAGAUAAAAUUCCAGGAAAGGCGAAAAGAGAGCCUCCUCCGACUCCCUUUUCCUCUGGAAACAGGAACCUCCACGGGAACGAAACUGCGCUGCCGUAUCCCAUAUCCUGCGACGUCGGAAGGAGACUUUAAAUCGAAAGAUCCCCGUUUAGAUGAAUCCCCUGAUGCUCGAGGUGCUGGAUCUCCCGUCAUUCGAAAUCGAUUCGGCAUGUCGGCAAACACUUUCCGCCGUCGAAUCGCGCUCUCCACAUCAGCAAAAUCACUUUUUAUGUGCGCCGGAAUCACGUCACGGACUAAAAUAAUAAUCGAUAGGGCCGCACGUGCUGCCUUAUCUCUUCAAUACGCUCUUUUCAUCUAUAGAUUUUGUAAUUAAGCUGAUAUUUUUAAAAAUAAAUAUUGAAAAGUAUUACCAAUGUUUUAAUUUCCUACUAAAUCUAGAGAAUCUUAGAUUUUAGACUCUGAGUGAGAUAUAGAAAUAGAACAUUGCGGAUUUGUAUUAUAUUGAUGUCAUAUAUCCAUCUGUCAGAGCCAUAGGCAUUCCAGUUUACUGCCGAAAAGUAAACUAAUUAUUUAACUAAUUACAAAACAGCGAAACAGUGGAUUCUUUAUGUAGAAAGUUCGCUAAAUGGGUUUGCAAACUUGAAAAUUUAUGCGUGACUAGGAUGUCAAAAGUAAGUAGAACGAGCAGUGAAAGUUCUAAGGGGGGUAAGGGAUUAUAUUUUAGUGAGGCAAAAUUCGCGAACUUGCAUAAAAUCGCGAAUAUGAGAUGCGCGCUCAAGCUAUUAGGGAAAUAUGUAGAGUAAGAGACUAUACCACAACUUACAACAAGUACUUGUAAUAGUAUUUCAUUAUAUUGGCCUUAUCCUACUACUCCAUUAACAUGAUUUUCUUUCUCGUGUAAUUAACUCUUAUAAUUAUAUUACAAAAGUAUGUGCAACAUUUAAAAUCGUAAUCCUUUUUAUUAUUGUCUUUAUUACUAUCCAAUACGCUGCAAUUGUUUUUAUGAUUAAUAAAACGUCAAGAUCAAAAACGAUCCAUUAGUAAGGAAAGUAAUUGGAACUGAGAAUUACGUCGAUUCGAACGGACGAGGAAGUCGCAUUAAUUUCUGGAUCACGGUCAGAGUUCUCAAGGUCAAAUACCCCUCUCAUCGAUGAAACCUGUUUGCAGAGAAGAAAGUCGAUGAUCCAAACCUGACUCUCGAUCGUCGGUUCCUGAACUUUCGUGACGACCUCAUUUUCGGAUAUUUCCAAUUGCUCACUUCUACCUCGCUACGUCCUAUGUUUGUCUUUCUUUGGAAAUGUUUCGAAGUAUUUGAUGAUUUAUCAUCAUACCCACUCUCACCAUCUUACCUAAAAUUCAAGCAAUUGAUAAUUCGGCAUGUACGUUGACCUAAUCUUGUGGUAACACGUGUUAUUAUGAAAAGAAAUUAUGAAAAGAACGAAAACAGAUUAAAAAUUGCAAUUAAAAUAAAUACUAUGUAAUAAAAAUAUUAUAUAAAUGCUAUUGUGUAGAUGAACCAAACAAGAAUAACAAAUAAUUAGUAACAAUGAAAAUAUAUUAAUAACAAAAUCAUAAUAUAAAAUCUUAUAAGUUUAUUAUAAUAAACUUUAAAUUUUAUUAAAUAUUAGUAUUUUAAAAAUAUUGUAAUAAAUUUUAAACAGUACGAUCAGUGUAUUCACUUAAUAAAUUAUACUAAUAAAUUUCUGCAUAGAUUGGAAGAAAUUAAUGGUAGGUACACAACAAUAGUAUAUUUAGAAAUAUAACAGUCUCUCUGUUUUCCUCUCUUUACAGGAUUUAGUCAACAAACUAUCCCUGAGGGAUGGAAAUUGUAAAAAAUCGAGGGCGCGUAAUUAAUUAAUUCUAAUCGCGUCAGCAUGCACAGCUUGCAAACGGCAACGACAAACCAAGUUAUUGCGCCGUGAUACGUGCUGGUGGAAUCUGGCAAUAAAAUUUGCAUUAAUCGUUCUCGACCAACAGAAAGCAUAGAAAACGAAAAUGUAGAGAAGUAGGAUACUCAUAGUGUGACACACUAAAGAAAAAGAAAGGAGAGAUAUGGAGAGGUGCCAUAAAAUUGAUAUCAGAUAGCCAAAAGUUGUUUUGUCACUCGUUUUCGACACAGAUUGCGCCGCAAGAUACCAAACAAAUCGUGGAAUGUAUCCACUGUGAGUGAAAACGAAACCCUGUAAACUUUCUUCAUUAGUAAUAAUUAGUCACCAGUGACGAAAUUUUGAGAGGAACGUUGACUUUCGACAAACUUUAAAAUUUCCUCCGAUAAAAUUAAACGUUCAAACAUCCGAAACAGAAACGUAGCCGGGUAAAAGGAACUAAGAA